Molecule: ribosomal RNA, 954 nt
Filed under: Escherichia coli
Lineage: Bacteria; Pseudomonadati; Pseudomonadota; Gammaproteobacteria; Enterobacterales; Enterobacteriaceae
Description: bacterial LSU rRNA
Rfam family: Bacterial large subunit ribosomal RNA
Source: RNAcentral
GGGUUGUGAGGUUAAGCGACUAAGCGUACACGGUGGAUGCCCUGGCAGUCAGAGGCGAUGAAGGACGUGCUAAUCUGCGAUAAGCGUCGGUAAGGUGAUAUGAACCGUUAUAACCGGCGAUUUCCGAAUGGGGAAACCCAGUGUGAUUCGUCACACUAUCAUUAACUGAAUCCAUAGGUUAAUGAGGCGAACCGGGGGAACUGAAACAUCUAAGUACCCCGAGGAAAAGAAAUCAACCGAGAUUCCCCCAGUAGCGGCGAGCGAACGGGGAGGAGCCCAGAGCCUGAAUCAGUGUGUGUGUUAGUGGAAGCGUCUGGAAAGGCGCGCGAUACAGGGUGACAGCCCCGUACACAAAAAUGCACAUACUGUGAGCUCGAUGAGUAGGGCGGGACACGUGGUAUCCUGUCUGAAUAUGGGGGACCAUCCUCCAAGGCUAAAUACUCUGACUGACCGAUAGUGAACCAGUACCGUGAGGGAAAGGCGAAAAGAACCCCGGCGAGGGGAGUGAAAAAGAACCUGAAAACCGUGUACGUACAAGCAGUGGGAGCCUCUUUAUGGGGUGACUGCGUACCUUUUGUAUAAUGGGUCAGCGACUUAUAUUCUGUAGCAAGGUUAACCGAAUAGGGGAGCCGAAGGGAAACCGAGUCUUAACUGGGCGUUAAGUUGCAGGGUAUAGACCCGAAACCCGGUGAUCUAGCCAUGGGCAGGUUGAAGGUUGGGUAACACUAACUGGAGGACCGAACCGACUAAUGUUGAAAAAUUAGCGGAUGACUUGUGGCUGGGGGUGAAAGGCCAAUCAAACCGGGAGAUAGCUGGUUCUCCCCGAAAGCUAUUUAGGUAGCGCCUCGUGAAUUCAUCUCCGGGGGUAGAGCACUGUUUCGGCAAGGGGGUCAUCCCGACUUACCAACCCGAUGCAAACUGCGAAUACCGGAGAAUGUUAUCACGGGAGACACA